CAUAUUUCGGAAAGAACUGGACCUCGAGACCCAGAUCAGGAAGAAAAUGGACAGAAGAAGAAGGGUGAGAAAGUUAAUUUAUAUUAACAAAAUGUGAGCUGAAAUGGGUAUCGGCCACACAGUGAGAAACCCGCACUGGACCCUUCAACUUCG
The submitters of this non-coding RNA (153 nucleotides) gave its source as unclassified sequences. The record is from Rfam.